RNAcentral lists this transfer RNA (88 nucleotides) under Candidatus Saccharimonadota bacterium. RNAcentral describes it as "tRNA-Ser". It matches the Rfam family "tRNA". From Rfam's summary of the family: Transfer RNA (tRNA) molecules are approximately 80 nucleotides in length. Their secondary structure includes four short double-helical elements and three loops (D, anti-codon, and T loops). Lineage: Bacteria; Candidatus Saccharimonadota. The record is from RNAcentral.
GGAAGCGUGGCCGAGUGGUUGAAGGCGCACGACUCGAAAUCGUGUGGGCAGCAAUGUCUCGUAGGUUCGAAUCCUAUCGCUUCCGCCA